GGGGGUGUAGCUCACUUGGUAGAGCGCUUACUUGGCAUGUAUGAGGCCCUGGGUUCCAUCCCCCACUGCUG
This 71-nucleotide transfer RNA is filed under the name Ictidomys tridecemlineatus (thirteen-lined ground squirrel). RNAcentral describes it as "Spermophilus tridecemlineatus (thirteen-lined ground squirrel) tRNA". It matches the Rfam family "tRNA". From Rfam's summary of the family: Transfer RNA (tRNA) molecules are approximately 80 nucleotides in length. Their secondary structure includes four short double-helical elements and three loops (D, anti-codon, and T loops). Further hydrogen bonds mediate the characteristic L-shaped molecular structure. tRNAs have two regions of fundamental functional importance: the anti-codon, which is responsible for specific mRNA codon recognition, and the 3' end, to which the tRNAs corresponding amino acid is attached (by aminoacyl-tRNA synthetases). tRNAs cope with the degeneracy of the genetic code in two manners: having more than one tRNA (with a specific anti-codon) for a particular amino acid; and 'wobble' base-pairing, i.e. permitting non-standard base-pairing at the 3rd anti-codon position. The record is from Rfam by way of RNAcentral. Lineage: Eukaryota; Metazoa; Chordata; Mammalia; Rodentia; Sciuridae.